RNAcentral lists this ribosomal RNA (253 nucleotides) under uncultured bacterium. RNAcentral describes it as "partial 16S ribosomal RNA". It matches the Rfam family "Bacterial small subunit ribosomal RNA", at positions 524 to 776 of the family's 1533-position model. The record is from RNAcentral.
UACGGAGGGUGCAAGCGUUGUUCGGAAUCACUGGGCGGAAAGCGCGUGUAGGCGGCCUCCUAAGUCUGGUGUGAAAGCCCGGGGCUUACCCCCGGAAGUGCACUGGAUACUGGGAGACUAGAGUACCGGAGAGGAGGGUGGAAUUCCUGGUGUAGCGGUGAAAUGCGUAGAUAUCAGGAAGAACACCGGUGGCGAAGGCGGCCCUCUGGACGGAUACUGACGCUGAGACGCGAAAGCGUGGGGAGCGAACAGG